Molecule: long non-coding RNA, 2362 nt
Filed under: Heterocephalus glaber (naked mole-rat)
Lineage: Eukaryota; Metazoa; Chordata; Mammalia; Rodentia; Bathyergidae
Description: lncRNA (ENSHGLG00000031946.1)
Source: RNAcentral
GUCCUCGAGUAGGGAAAUAAAAACUGAGUCCUCUGAGAGCCGAGGCCUGGGGCCGUCACAGGGACAUUUCUGCCACCUUUGAUGGGUCAAGUAGACAGCCAGAUUCCAGGGAAGGAAAACUAAGUUCUACGCCGCAGUGAGCAACUCCAUCCAAUAUAUAUCAUCUUAAGUCAACGAAUAUUAAAUCCAGUUGAAAUCAAUUGAGCCAUAAGUAUGGAUAGUGACCAUGCACCAGGAACACAGCAUUGUUUUGGGUACUUUGCUUCAUUUGCAUUCCUAAAAAUGUUUCAGAACCACCAUCAAUUUCCACAAAAACGUCCACAGCCUCUUGCAGAUGAUUACCCUGUGACAGCAGUGAGUCGUGGAAUCCACCAACGUGGCUUCUCCAUUUAUUCAGAUCUUUAACUUAUGUCAGCAAUGUUGUAUAGUUGUUAGUAUACAAAUAUUGCAACUACUUCUGCCAUAUUCACUCCUAAGCAUUUUAUCUUUUUUGGUGGUUUUGUGAAUGGUGUUGCCUUCUUAUCUUAAUUUUUAGAUUUUUAUUGAUAGUGUAUGAAUACUGUUGUGGUCGGGGCUUGCAAGAGAACAGACUUAAAACAGGACACAUAAUUUAUAGUAUUAUUUUAUAAUAGUCACCCAAAAAGUCAAAUGCAGAGGAGUGCAAGAGAUCUAACGGUCCACUGGAGACUGAGAGAAUCCAGCCGAGGGCCUAGAUCCCAUGGCAAUGUCCUGCACAAGUCCAGUCAGAGACCUAAGCCCACGGCAAUGUCUCAUGCAAAUCUGUAUCAAGGACCUGCACCAGGAAGGGCCGAGGGCCACUGGUGGAAGCUAGUGUGUUGGGAGGGUGAAGGAUCUGUGCCACCAGGCUGGGCAUCUGCACUGGAGCCAGGAAGUGAUGCUCAAGGUGAGAACCAGAGCCCCCUGAUGAGAUCGGCACCCAGUUCCCAGUGACAGCGAGGACCUAGCUCCUCCAGCGGUGAGAGAACAGCCAAGUUCACAUGAAGAAAACUACCCGCAGCAAGCUUCUCCAAGAAAAUCAACAGCCAAAGAUCUUCCCCUUCAGUUUUCUUUCUAUGCCAGUGGCAUCAAUCCUCAGGUGAAUCUUCCAUGCCCAAACCAUGCUGAUUCAGUUCAGUUGGACUUUCCAAGUUGACCAAUAGUUAAUCCACCACAAAUACCAUUGGUUUUCAUUCCAUUAGCCUUGUAUCUUGCAGUCUUCCUCAACAUUUUUGCUAGUCUAGAUUGUGUGUGUGUAUUUUGGCAUUUUCUACAUAAAGUGCAUGUUAUGUGUGAAUAUGAUAGUUUAAUACUUUUUCUUUUCAAAUCUAGGUCUCUUUAAUUCCUUAUCAUCCUCAUCACUACCCUCCUCCUCCUUAUCUACAUUUAGAACUUCCCAUACAAUGUUGAUAGGAGCACCAAGAGCAGGCUUUCUUGCCUUAUCCCCAAUCUUUGGAAGAAAGCAUCUGGUUUUUAGCAAUAAUGAUGAUGUUAGCUGUCAGAUUUUUGUACAUUCCCUUUAUCAGGUAUCAUAUGCAACUCUAAACUUAAAGUGCUUCAUCACUGAGAUUUAUGGAAAGAACUCAGACAAGUAUGGGGUUCUGAUACCCUUGCAUUAAACUGGGAAAUCAAGCAACCCUCUGUGAUCCACCAACAAAUGAGAAGCAGAUCUGUAAUAACCUGGAACCUGGAGACGGGGAGCUUUGUCAUUGACACCAGGGCACUGUCCUUGAGCCCCUCUGGAAGGAGCCACACAUAGUAGUUUUUCAUCACAUGCACUGCAUCCAGACUUCAGGGCAUCCGGUGUUGGACUCUCAUCUGUCAGCCUAAGCGAGACUGCAGACUUUUGGGACUGUGGCUCCCUGGGAGCACGGGAAGGUGACCAAGGAGGUGGCUCACAGCACUGAUGGCGUCGCACGCAGAAGUGGACAGCCCGCCCAAGACGACUGUUCCGAGGUUACGGCAUCUGCUCCUCCAUACUUUUCUCCCUGUACUUCUUUGCUCUUCAUGGCAAGAUAGUUUAAUAACCAAGAUUUUAUACUCACUGGUCGCUUAGGGAACUUUCCUAAAUGUUGAGUGUGUCCUGUUAAAUCUAAAUUGUUUUGUGAUCUAACAGAACUUCCAGCUCACCUGGAAGAAAAUUUCACUGAUAUCCUAAGUGUGGUUAUUUGUGCAGCUACAUAUCUGAUCCUUUCUAUCAGUUUAGGUUUUUAGAUUAUCAUAUUAGAUUUCUUGUUUAAAUCUGACAAGUCUGCAAAACCUAGAGUUAGGGUUUUACAGCUAAAUUAUAUCAGAAAUUGAAUAAGAAAACCAAAGGGAGAUAUUUUAGAAGUUUGUAGGAAAAUUUGUUUCUCUAAUAUAAUUG